CGAUGCGUCUUAAGCAUGCAAGUCGAGCGGGCUUAUUCGGGCAACUGGAUAAGUUAGCGGCGAACUGGUGAGUAACACGUAGGUAAUCUGCCGUAGAGUGGGGGAUAACCCAUGGAAACAUGGACUAAUACCGCAUAUACUCUUGCUACAUAAGUAGAGUAGAGGAAAGGAGCAAUCCGCUUUACGAUGAGCCUGCGGCCUAUUAGCCUGUUGGUGGGGUAACGGCCUACCAAAGCUACGAUAGGUAGCCGACCUGAGAGGGUGACCGGCCACAUUGGGACUGAGAUACGGCCCAGACUCCUACGGGAGGCAGCAGCUGAGAAUCUUCCACAAUGGACGAAAGUCUGAUGGAGCGACAUCGCGUGAGGGAUGAAGGCCUUCGGGUUGUAAACCUCGGAAAUUAUCGAAGAAUGAGUGACAGUAGAUAAUGUAAGCCUCGGCUAA
Molecule: ribosomal RNA, 444 nt
Filed under: Brachyspira hyodysenteriae
Lineage: Bacteria; Pseudomonadati; Spirochaetota; Spirochaetia; Brachyspirales; Brachyspiraceae
Description: bacterial SSU rRNA
Rfam family: Bacterial small subunit ribosomal RNA
Source: RNAcentral